Sapajus apella (tufted capuchin) is the source of this 2275-nucleotide long non-coding RNA. RefSeq lists it as uncharacterized. The record is from RefSeq and is a predicted model, not a curated record. NCBI's taxonomy places the organism in Eukaryota, Metazoa, Chordata, Mammalia, Primates, Cebidae. The transcript is spliced from 2 exons.
AAAAAAAAAAAGAGAGAGAGAGAGAGAGAGAGAAAGCAAGCAAAAAAGAAAAUAAAUGUCUUAGGAGCCACAUCUUUAAUUCCUGAAUUAAUAAUUUAAUUCCAACUUUUUUAUAUGCCAUCCACUUCAGAAAAAUAAAAUGAGGUUGUAAAAGCAAUUUUAAAAACCAACAUGAACCAAAAAGUAAAGGAUAAUUAAGAAACAAUAGCCAUAAAUUCUAAUUGAGAGGAAUAAGAGCAAUUAAACAUAAAACUUACUUCUGAGCUGCCCACCAACCUAGAAAAAGAAAACUGGCUGCAGAAUUCUUUUUUGUGUGUAAUUUUAGGAGAGUUCAUCAGAAGGCAUACAUCUUUGUCCAGUGCUUAGUUCUGAAGGAAAUUGGUCAAUAAUUUUUUUAUUUGAAGACAUGGAAUAAUGUCCCAAUAGCAGUUUUAAAAAGGAAAAAAGAAAAAAGCAUUUUUUGAAGAUAGGUGUCAUGAGCAAUGCCAGGUUAAAAAUAGCCAGGUCCACACAUGACUGUGUCUUUCCACAUUGUCAGGCUUUUAUUGAUGCUAACUCAGUCACAAAAGCCAGAAGCUACAUGGAAUUGCCAAGGAGGCAAUGCUCCUUGUACCUUCCAUUCUGUUGGUAGAGCUGCAGGCACGCAGGCUCAAGCCACUCCUCAAGUCAAUCAGUAUGGCAAACCAUACUUAAUAGUAUACUUAAUCAAUGCAUACGUGUUACAGAUUAAACAUUCCGCAAUAAACAAAGUGACGCUGAACAGCAAGAGGAGAAAGAGAUUGGAGAAAGGGUUAAGGAACCAGUCCGGGGGCAUGGCUCAGUCUUGCAAGGAAGAAUGUUGGAGGUGGCAAAAGCAGAUGCCAGCAGAUGCCAAGUUCUUAUCAUGAGUGACUGCAAGACAGUGUCAGUUAAGACAGCCAUUUCCAGCUGCUUCUGGCCUGACCUUUUAAAGUCACAGAGUCCUCUAAUAAGAACUGAUGGUGGAACUGUGCUUGUUCAUGUCUUUUUCUGGUUGGAUGCAGUCUUUAUCUUUUUUUGUUGUCGCUAUUUAUUAAACAAAACAUCUUAUCCUUGUUGGCAAAGUGCCCUGUGAAACAUAAAAUGGAGUCUUAGUCUAAGAUGGAGUGAGUUAUGUCAACGGUGCUCUAUACAAUAGGGUUUUUUUUUUUUUUCAGUCUCCACCAUUGGUGAAAUUUAAAUAUGGAAUGUUAAAACCUAGUUUCCUCAAAUUCUCUGGAAAUGAUUGCCACCCAUUCCUCUCCAUGGAUUGGCCUUUUCCAUAAGUGAUUAGUCAUGUGGCUAUAAAUAACUGAGUUUAAGAAACAACUUCAGUCGCACUAAAUUCAGAGGUUCAAUUAUAAUUGUUGUUAUUGUUGUUGUUACUUCAAAAUACACCUAGGCUGCACACCUUUAUUUCACAGAAGAUUCUAGCAUGAAAUCCAUUAUGCCCAGAAACAAUCAUUUGUUCUGCAGGACGGAUAUUUGGAAAUAAUCAGGGACUUUUGUACGAGGAGCGUUGUAUGGCAGCUGGCAAUUUAAUACUCCUGUUAUCAGUGAGUUCAUCUUCCGUUUUCCUUGGCUCUAAACCCAACUACUGGUAUUUAAAUCUUCAGUUUUUCUUCUCUCCCACUCUGAGUCAAGUCGCCCCCAUAAUCCUUUCCACAUAUGUAAUUUUUGUUGUUUGUAAGCCAUUCUCAUUUUUAUGCCAAGAUGUGGAAUCGUUUUUCUUCUAUUUUUUUUAAUGUAGGCAUCAUAAAGCCUCAUAACUAAAUAGUUAUAUCCUUGCCAGAAGCCAGAUAAAUGUUUUAGGGAUUAUUUAUUUAUCAUAACAUAUGGCUCAGAUCUAAAAGGACUGGGUUCUGGGGAGCUGUAGUUACCACUUUAUAUAACACUUCAUGGUUUCCAAGAGCUUCGGGCUGGAAAAACUCUUUUGAGAUGUACGCAUGUACACAAAAUAAGUACAAAGAUUUUGAAAAAAGAAGACACAUGUUACUUUAGUGAUUUCUAAAUUUGCUCCUAAAAUACACAAAGUCGGUAAAUGAGGCAGCCCUUUUCUGCUCUGCUGAUUAUCUGAAAAACUUUGGCGAUCUAAAGAUAAGUUUACCAAAUCUGACUAAAAGUAGUAGAUUUGUAACAUAAAACCAACUCGUCAUUUUUAAGAAAGGGUAAUAUGAAUGGAAUUUAUUCAUUGGAAAUCAAAGUUUAACCCAGCUGAUGUCAUUGUUGGAAAAAAAAAUUUUAAGGCAAGAAUAAAAUGGUUGGAGCAAGUACCAUA